This 107-nucleotide small nuclear RNA is filed under the name Dasypus novemcinctus (nine-banded armadillo). Lineage: Eukaryota; Metazoa; Chordata; Mammalia; Cingulata; Dasypodidae. The record is from RNAcentral.
GUGCUUACAUCGGCAGCACAUAUACUAAAAUUGGAAGGAUACAGAGAAGAUGAGUGUGACCCCUGCACAAGGAUGACAUGCAAAUUUAUGAAGUGUUCCAUAUUUUU